GGGUGAUUAGCUCAGCUGGUAGAGCGCCUGCCUUACAAGCAGGAUGUCGGCGGUUCGAGCCCGUCAUCGCCCACCA
Molecule: transfer RNA, 76 nt
Filed under: Desulfitobacterium hafniense
Lineage: Bacteria; Bacillati; Bacillota; Clostridia; Eubacteriales; Desulfitobacteriaceae
Also listed under: 3 other names
Description: tRNA-Val
Rfam family: tRNA
About the family: Transfer RNA (tRNA) molecules are approximately 80 nucleotides in length. Their secondary structure includes four short double-helical elements and three loops (D, anti-codon, and T loops). Further hydrogen bonds mediate the characteristic L-shaped molecular structure. tRNAs have two regions of fundamental functional importance: the anti-codon, which is responsible for specific mRNA codon recognition, and the 3' end, to which the tRNAs corresponding amino acid is attached (by aminoacyl-tRNA synthetases). tRNAs cope with the degeneracy of the genetic code in two manners: having more than one tRNA (with a specific anti-codon) for a particular amino acid; and 'wobble' base-pairing, i.e. permitting non-standard base-pairing at the 3rd anti-codon position.
Source: RNAcentral